RNAcentral lists this long non-coding RNA (1944 nucleotides) under Marmota monax (woodchuck). The record is from RNAcentral. Lineage: Eukaryota; Metazoa; Chordata; Mammalia; Rodentia; Sciuridae.
GCCAGACCAGUUCCUUCCUCCCCUCAAACGGACAUUUCACUUCUUGCUCGACAGACAGAACCACGUAGGUGGCCUGCGUGGAAGGGACCAGCUGCCCGCUGCUCCCCGGCCAGCAACACAAAGACUCAGAAUGGGGUUCACCCUGUGCAGGUGCCUUGGGCUACCCGCUUGUUGAACGUCCCGGUGACCCUGUGAGUAAGAACCCUGUCCCCACUUACGAGGAGCAGACAGAGAGGCUAGCAGCUGACUUCAGAUCACCCAGCCUGGCAGGGACCACAACAGCCUGCUGGCUUAGGAUGCUCCUGACAGGGGACACAUGCCAAGAGAAGUGACCGAGCAAAAGCCCCUUGGCCAGUCCACUGCCCUCAGGGAACCCCCAAACCUGAACAGCAUUGGCUACCAGAAGUUCCAGGGAGACUCCCGCUGCUGCGGGGGGACAGGUGCACUGUGCACACUCACCACUGCCCUGCGGGGGGGGGGGGGGGACAGGGGCACUGUGCACGCUCACCGCUGCCCUAUGGGGGGACAGGGGCACUGUGUACCUCACCGCUGCCCCGCCCUCAGUGGGUGUGUCUUCCUCCUUGAGCAUCAGGUUUAACCUGGGCACCGAGGGGGGAGCUAAACAAUUUACCUGGAAAGAAAUGGGAAUAUCACUGUUCUGCCCGGUGGUGAUUUCACAUGGACUCGAGGGCAGACACCUGCAGCCUUCCAGGGUCUCCCUCACACCUGCCUGCCAGCUCCCACCUGGGGGCAGUGGGGAGGGUGGGGACCCUGUCACCACACCACAGCUGGCUCCUGAGCCUGGCUUUCCACCCAGCCACAGUGUGACUAGCCCUCUCUGCCUCAGACUCCUCAUCUGUGAACGUGGACAGAGAGAAGACCAGCUUCGGGAGGCUGGGUGAGCAGGGGAUGACGGGCUGGCCAGCAGGGUGCUUCCUGACUCCUCCGCGACCCCCGCCUGCCAGCUGGCUGUGCCUCGGUUUCCCCACCAUGAGAUGAGGGUAAAAUCGGGGGACGGGUGGGCUUCCACUGAGGGAAAGAGAGAACAACACGCACCUCCAGGUGACCAGAGCUCUUUGCGUCCCCUCUUGAACUGCACCCUGACCAUCUGCACCCCUGGGGCAGCGGAACUUUGCCAGGGAUGCAUAGCCUUGGCCUUCCACAUCUCAAUGACUCUGUGAUAUGUAUCACGUACACCCACCCCACUGUCAGGUGUGCGAAGGCACUUCCGUCCCCACCACACCUUGAACCCUGCUGGCCAUCUAGACAACUCUGCCUGCUCAGUUCCGCCCGAAGGCCUCCUCCUGCGGGAGGCUCUCCCUGGCCUCCCCAGCCUCUGACUUCUAUCACACAGGGUUCAGGCCCUGAGCCCUGAGACAGGGACCAGGCUGGGCUCAGACCCAGGUCCCCCUCCCCCGCUGGCAGCGGUAGGGGGAAGGGUCAGCACAGGCAUUCCACAAGGACCUCACAACAGGGUCCUGAAACCCCCGCAGGAGGCCAGCACGGAGGCCAGCUCGGCCGGACCUCUGCUUCCAGGUGGCUGGGUCAGCGAAGUUCUGAGCUCUCACUUGGACACCGCGUCUCACCGACAGAAGGAAGAGGAGAUUUCACAGCCUCUGCCACAGAACCUAAGUGGGCAGCCACCAGGCAGCCAGGCGGUCCCCACUGGGGCCUAAGGAGGACUCAGGAAUUCCACCCCUCCCCCAGCGGCCUCCGCAGUCCUCCUGCAGGGGCCCCAAAGCUCCCUCGAGGCGGGACACUCCGCGCCAGGGCUCAGGGAAAGUGAAAGCAGCCAGCGCUGGCUCCCCCGGGGCGACCCGAGGCCGGCCGAUGGGUCUGCACCUCUGGCUCGGGUUCGGCCGCGGUGUGCGGCGCUGGCGGCCAGGCCCGGCCCCGGUUUGACUCCGCGCGCUCGGCCGCCUCAUCUGCGAAGCGGGAGCGGUG